Molecule: antisense RNA, 75 nt
Filed under: Mycobacterium shinjukuense
Lineage: Bacteria; Bacillati; Actinomycetota; Actinomycetes; Mycobacteriales; Mycobacteriaceae
Description: ASpks TB sRNA
Rfam family: ASpks TB sRNA
Source: Rfam by way of RNAcentral
CUUGAUCGAGCCCACCCACAGCGGCCGCCCCGGCGGACGGCCCUGUCCAUAGGUGGCCAGCAACGCCUCCGCCUC